RNAcentral lists this ribosomal RNA (411 nucleotides) under uncultured bacterium. RNAcentral's name for it is "bacterial SSU rRNA". It matches the Rfam family "Bacterial small subunit ribosomal RNA", at positions 370 to 772 of the family's 1533-position model. The record is from RNAcentral.
AAUGGGGGAAACCCUGACGCAGCAACGCCGCGUGGGUGAUGAAGGCCUUCGGGUCGUAAAGCCCUGUCGGGAGGGAAGAAAUGAUUGAGAGCUAAUACCUCUAGGUCUUGACGGUACCUCCGAAGGAAGCACCGGCUAACUCCGUGCCAGCAGCCGCGGUAAUACGGAGGGGGCAAGCGUUGUUCGGAGUCACUGGGCGUAAAGCGNAUGUAGGUGGAUGUAUAAGUCAGGAGUCAAAGGCGUCGGCUCAACCGGCGUACGGCUUUUGAAACUAUAUGUCUAGAGUGUCGGAGAGGAAUAUGGAAUUCCCGGUGUAGCGGUGAAAUGCGUUGAUAUCGGGAGGAACACCAGUAGCGAAGGCGAUAUUCUGGCCGACAACUGACACUGAGAUGCGAGAGCAUGGGUAGCAAA